This 430-nucleotide ribosomal RNA is filed under the name uncultured bacterium. Its description in RNAcentral is "partial 16S ribosomal RNA". It matches the Rfam family "Bacterial small subunit ribosomal RNA", at positions 29 to 507 of the family's 1533-position model. The record is from RNAcentral.
ACGCACGCUGGCGGCAGGCCUAACCCAUGCAAGUCGCGCGCCCUUUCGGGGGAGCGGCGGCCGGGUGAGUAACGCGUGGGAAUAUGCCCUUCUCUACGGAAUAGCCUCGGGAAACUGAGAGUAAUACCGUAUACGCCCUUUGGGGGAAAGAUUUAUCGGGGAAGGAUUAGCCCGCGUUGGAUUAGGUAGUUGGUGGGGUAAUGGCCUACCAAGCCGACGAUCCAUAGCUGGUUUGAGAGGAUGAUCAGCCACACUGGGACUGAGACACGGCCCAGACUCCUACGGGAGGCAGCAGUGGGGAAUCUUAGACAAUGGGGGCAACCCUGAUCUAGCCAUGCCGCGUGAGUGAUGAAGGCCUUAGGGUUGUAAAGCUCUUUCAGCUGGGAAGAUAAUGACGGUACCAGCAGAAGAAGCCCCGGCUAACUCCGUG